Canis lupus familiaris (dog) is the source of this 1723-nucleotide long non-coding RNA. RefSeq lists it as uncharacterized. NCBI's taxonomy places the organism in Eukaryota, Metazoa, Chordata, Mammalia, Carnivora, Canidae. The transcript is spliced from 3 exons. The record is from RefSeq and is a predicted model, not a curated record.
CAGGUUGGAAAAAGAAACAUGAAGAGUGUCUGCUAUUGCCAUUCAUUGCUGCGAUCCCUCAGGGUUCUGGAAUUGUUUGCUUCCUGAAGAGCGUGCUGCUUACUGACGCAGGCCGUCCAGAUGCCCAAGGGGAGUGUCUCCGGGUUGCAGAUGUGCUCUAAGCACCUUCCCUGGAAAUCACAGAACUUCAGACCCCCUAAGGAAGGCGAAAAGCUCCCUGAGGAAUCGUGGUGGGGUUCUGGAGACCUGAAGGCCUGCGGCCACAGGCAGUGCUGCUUAGGUGAACUCUCCUCGCAGGAGCUGAAGGCCCGGACUCCAUGGUCUUCUGGGCCUUUCCUCACAGGAGUGGUUGGGUAUGCAAAUCUAUGUAACAGCAGACUAUACACCGGAGCCCAGAGCGAACCAGCGGACAUCUGAGACUGCCGGGGCGAGCCCUAGAAGGGGAUGAUCACCGCGGCGGUGGAUAGUGAUUUGGAAAGCUGACUCAGGUCACGGAGGAUGCGGGCUUGGCCCUGAGCGCCUGAUCCAGGCCUCCAAAAGACAACUGGGCCACCCUGGUCUCCGGGAUGGAGAAGUACUGCGGGGUUACUCAGAGGGACACCCACCGGCCGCUGUCCUUGGCUCACCCUGGUUCACCCGCCGGAGCGCCGCGCGCACGCUCAGGAACACCUCAUUUGAAGGCAGGCUCGGGGGCCCCGCAUCUUGCCAGGCGUGCCCUCAGCGCCCCCAAACAUCGGUUACUUCCCGCCAAACAAGAUCCAGUCGGCGGUGAUUUUUCACUUUUUCCCAAAGAGUCACCGCGGGGUCCCUUACACGGCCAGCACCCCCCCCCCCGCAUCCGUGCCUCUGUCUGUCCACCCCCUCCCCCCGCAUCCGUGUCUCUGUCUGUCCCUGCAUCUAUGCAUCCGUGCAUCUGUGCAUCCUUGCAUCCGUGCAUCUGUGCAUCCUUGCAUCUGCGCAUCCGUGCGUCCAUGCAUUCGAAACACGACCUGAUUUACAGGAGUUGGGCCCCGGGCUCCGCAGGGACCGCCCCCCCUUCCCAGUGACCCAGCCCCGGGGAUGCAGGGGCCUUCGGAGAGGCUGGGGUCCCCGAGGGCCACAGCCCGCUGCGCUGACUGCAGAGGACCGGCUCGGGGAUUGCCUUCCAGGGGGGUCACCUUCGAGAACCUUCCCUUCCCGCCUGCGCCCGUCGCUUUCUCUCCGCUUUGUGCGGCCUCGCCGCAGCCUGGUCCCGGGAAGUCUUGCUGCCUCUGCUGCUCGGCUCCUUUUUGCCUUUUCUUUUUUCUUUUCUUUUUUUUUUAGUUGUGAAUAAUAAUCACUAUUUUGGCCUCGCUACUUCCCAACAGAGAUUCUGGGGUCCUCGUGAGCUCCCCAGCCUCUCUCCUCCUCCUCCCCUCCCCCUCCUCCUCGCCUCCCUCCUCCUCUCCCUCCUGUUCCUCCGCUUCCUCCUCCUCCCUUCCCCUCUCCCCUUCCCCCUCCCUUCUCCUCCUCCUUCCCUCCCCCCUCCUCCUCUUCCUCCUCCUCCUCCCCCCCCCCACCAGGCUUUUUCAGUUUGAUGUUUUUAGGUAUCAAAGGAAGGUCUCCAGGAACCCUGCAACUCAAGACUUUAAUGAGGACCAUGCCCGAGAAAUCCCGGCUGCCAGAGACAUGAUGAUGAUUUAUGUCGCUCACUCACUCCCUAACAGCGAGAGGACUAUUUGUAAAAAUAAAAAAAGCUGCUCAU